GAACGCACCUUGCGCUCCUUGGUAUUCCGAGGAGCAUGCCUGUUUGAGUGUCAUUAAUAUAUCAACCUCUUCAGUUUUUGCUUGUUGAGUGUUGGAUGUGGGGGUUCUUUUUUGCUGGUCUUCCCAGGUCAGCUCCCCUGAAAUGCAUUAGCGGAACAAUUGUAGACCGUUCAUUGGUGUGAUAACUAUCUAUGCUAUUGACGUGAAACAGUUCAGCUUUCUAACCAUCCAUUGACUUGGAUAAAUAUUCAUUAAUGUGACCUCAAAUCAGGUAGGACUACCCGCUGAACUUAAG
Molecule: unclassified non-coding RNA, 295 nt
Filed under: Phlegmacium cliduchus
Lineage: Eukaryota; Fungi; Basidiomycota; Agaricomycetes; Agaricales; Cortinariaceae
Description: Cortinarius cliduchus sequence contains 5.8S rRNA gene
Rfam family: 5.8S ribosomal RNA (bases 1-53)
Source: RNAcentral